This 253-nucleotide ribosomal RNA is filed under the name uncultured bacterium. RNAcentral describes it as "partial 16S ribosomal RNA". It matches the Rfam family "Bacterial small subunit ribosomal RNA", at positions 524 to 776 of the family's 1533-position model. The record is from RNAcentral.
UACGGAGGGUGCAAGCGUUAUCCGGAUUCACUGGGCUUAAAGGGUUUGUAGGCGGCUUUUUACGUCAGUGGUGAAAUCUCAAGGCUCAACCUUGAAACUGCCAUUGAUACUAUUUAUCUUGAAUAUCGUUGAGGUAGGCGGAAUAUAUCAUGUAGCGGUGAAAUGCUUAGAUAUGAUAUAGAACACCGAUUGCGAAGGCAGCUUGCUAAACGAUUAUUGACGCUGAGGCACGAAAGCGUGGGGAGCAAACAGG